This 1459-nucleotide ribosomal RNA is filed under the name Pantoea dispersa. RNAcentral describes it as "bacterial SSU rRNA". It matches the Rfam family "Bacterial small subunit ribosomal RNA". The record is from RNAcentral. Lineage: Bacteria; Pseudomonadati; Pseudomonadota; Gammaproteobacteria; Enterobacterales; Erwiniaceae.
CACAUGUCAGCUCGACGGCAUCCAGAAGAGCUUGCUCUUUGGGUGGCGAGUGGCGGACGGGUGAGUAAUGUCUGGGACACUGGCCGAUGGAGGGGGAUAACUACUGGAAACGGUAGCUAAUACCGCAUAACGUCCCGAGACCCAAGUGCGGGACCUUCCGACCUCCAACCCCAUCGGGAUGUGGCCCCCGAAUGGGAUUAAGCUACUUACGUGGGGGUAAUGGGUUCAACCUAGGCCAACGAUCCCUUAGCUGGUCUGGAGAGGGAUGACCCAGCCCACACUGGAAAUUGAGACCACGGUCCCAGACGCCUACGGGAGGCAGCAGUGGGGAAUAUUGCACAAUGGGCGCAAAGCCUGAUGCAGCCAUGCCGCGUGUAUGAAGAAGGCCUUCGGGUUGUAAAGUACUUUCAGCGGGGAGGAAGGCGGUGAGGUUAAUAACCUUGCCGAUUGACGUUACCCGCAGAAGAAGCACCGGCUAACUCCGUGCCAGCAGCCGCGGUAAUACGGAGGGUGCAAGCGUUAAUCGGAAUUACUGGGCGUAAAGCGCACGCAGGCGGUCUGUUAAGUCAGAUGUGAAAUCCCCGGGCUUAACCUGGGAACUGCAUUUGAAACUGGCAGGCUUGAGUCUCGUAGAGGGGGGUAGAAUUCCAGGUGUAGCGGUGAAAUGCGUAGAGAUCUGGAGGAAUACCGGUGGCGAAGGCGGCCCCCUGGACGAAGACUGACGCUCAGGUGCGAAAGCGUGGGGAGCAAACAGGAUUAGAUACCCUGGUACUCCACGCCGUAAACGAUGUCGACUUGGAGGUUGUGCCCUUGAGGCGUGGCUUCCGGAGCUAACGCGUUAAGUCGACCGCCUGGGGAGUACGGCCGCAAGGUUAAAACUCAAAUGAAUUGACGGGGGCCCGCACAAGCGGUGGAGCAUGUGGUUUAAUUCGAUGCAACGCGAAGAACCUUACCUGGUCCUUGACAUCCAGAGAACUUAGCAGAGAUGCUUUGGUGCCUUCGGGAACUCUGAGACAGGUGCUGCAUGGCUGUACGUCAGCUCGUGUUGUGAAAUGUUGGGUUAAGUCCCGCAACGAGCGAAACCCUUAUCCUUUGUUGCCAGCGGUUCGGCCGGGAACUCAAAGGAGAAUGCCGGUGAUAAACCGGAGGAAGGUGGGGAUGACGUCAACUCAUCAUGGCCCUUGACGGCCAGGGCUACACACGUGCUACAAUGGCGCAUACCAAAGAGAAGCGACCUCGCGAGAGCAAGCGGACCUCAUAAAGUGCCUCGUAAUCAGGAUUGGAGUCUGCAACUCGACUCCAUGAAGUCGGAAUCGCUAGUAAUCGUAGAUCAGAAUGCUACGGUGAAUACGUUCCCGGGCCUUGUACACACCGCCCGUCACACCAUGGGAGUGGGUUGCAAAAGAAGUAGGUAGCUUAACCUUCGGGAGGGCGCUUACCACUUUGUGAUUCAUGACUG